This 21-nucleotide non-coding RNA is filed under the name Caenorhabditis elegans. Lineage: Eukaryota; Metazoa; Nematoda; Chromadorea; Rhabditida; Rhabditidae. The record is from RNAcentral.
UGCUAACUCCUGUAGAUUCUA